AUUGAACGCUGGCGGCAGGCCUAACACAUGCAAGUCGAACGAGGGGCGGACGGGUGAGUAAUGUCUGGGAAACUGCCUGAGGGAGGGGGAUAAAUAGUGGAAACGGUAGCUAAUACCGCAUACCAUCGGAUGUGCCCAGAUUGGAUUAGCUAGUAGGUGGGGUAACGGCUCACCUAGGCGACGAUCCCUAGCUGGUCUGAGAGGAUGAACAGCCACCCUGGAACUGGGACACGGUCCAGACUCCUACGGGAGGCAGCUGUGGGGAAUAUUGCACAAUGGGCGCCAGCCUGAUGCAGCCAUGCCGCGUGUGUGAAGAAGGCCUUCGGGUUGUAAAGCACUUUCAGCGGGGAGGCGUUACCCGCAGAAGAAGCACCGGCUAACUCCGUGCCAGCAGCUGCGGUAAUAC
This 406-nucleotide ribosomal RNA is filed under the name uncultured bacterium. RNAcentral's name for it is "partial 16S ribosomal RNA". It matches the Rfam family "Bacterial small subunit ribosomal RNA", at positions 30 to 526 of the family's 1533-position model. The record is from RNAcentral.